UUGGAUAGUAAGAUAGUACUCAGGGCUCCUGUAAAGUGGACAUCCCAGGUAGCUAGGAGACAUUUAUCUCGUGUGAUUCUCUUUGAGAAUGGUGGAUGGUUAAGUAGAUUGAAAUAAUCUGGCAACAACUCCCUGUUUUCUUCAGAAAUGAUUAAAGGUAAGUGGACAAGCAUAGAUGUGAAUUCAGUGCAUCUGAUAUUCUGAAACCGUGUUUUAAUGACUUUUAUAUGCCACCAUAACCAUAUGUUAUGGAGGAGCUAUGCAGAAGAAAUGUUGAAAUAAAGAUAACUGGUCAUCUGUAAGUAGGUAAAUAGCAUCACUCUUCCAGAAGAGACAUUUGAACAAUCUUUAAUGAUAGCCAUUAAUUUUCCAUGGCAGGAAAUGACUCAGUUUAAUGAUGUAGAAUGUCUAAAACUUGAGUAUUUCUCUCUUUCAUUAUCCAUUCUAAUAUCUUGUGGAUGGAAAUGGGUUGUCUUUAUUGGACAUGCCAUAGAAAAUAAACUCGUUACAUGGCCGGACAACAUCAGUUCAUAAUAACACAGUUUGUUUCAGAGAAAGUAAUGAAGAAGUCUGCUCUUUGGUUCUUUCUAAUUUUUUGGAAGUAUAUAUAUGUACCCAAACUUGAAUGGUUUCUUGGCAAUUAAGCAUUGCAAGUAUGGGUCAAGUAAAUUGUGUGUUCAAGGUCUGUGCGGUGAAGAGAAAUAUCCAGAGCCUCAGCAAUCUAAAGUUUCGGUAGCCUGUGUUCUCAGUCUACGUGACGAUGCUUUUAUGUUCACCAACACACAUGCAUGCAGGUUAUAGGGUUUGUCAGCAGGUCAUUGUAAACGAGGGAGUUAGUGUGUUUAAAGCGUGUGCAAUCUUGUGUUCUAUGAGGAGAUAGAGGGAGAGCGGUGGUUUCCCCCGCCUCCUCUCGAGGAUCACUCUACAUAAAAGUAAAAUGCUUGGUAUGCUUUUUUGCUGUUCUUAAUUAACAGUGCAAAUUAUUUUUGGUAUUUGCCUGCUCGAUAAAAUUCUACACAUUUCUUCUGUUGGAAAAGAGGAGUGGAAGUCAGCUUUCUCGUGAGUGUGAUUAGUUAAGAAGCAUAUCAUGAUUCUAACUUUGCAUGAUUGAAUUUUCAGCCAUUUAAAAUUGUGAUACAAAGCCUGGUGGAAGAACUCUCUGUGGUGCUCAUGCAGCAAUCCUGUGCUGCUCAAAGAUCAACCCUUUUUGACCAUUUCAUAGAUGAAAAGCCUGUGCACAACAAAACCACACAACGUCAAGUGCAGACAAUACCCCCUUGCAGCAAUGCCUAGAUAUGGAAUCGGUAGUUUUUCAAAAUCAAAGACACUGAAAAGAAUACACAAACUUGUGAUAAUUGGGGGUUCCACAAAGUUUUCCAUAUCUUUCACAUGUUUUUGGUAAUUAACUUUUGUUAUACUAUAUUUGUACUAGUCCUUUCAUAUCAUAAACCAUACUUUUGAUGUUAUUUUAAUUUUUUAUAUAUAAUAUGGAC
Molecule: long non-coding RNA, 1493 nt
Filed under: Populus trichocarpa (black cottonwood)
Lineage: Eukaryota; Viridiplantae; Streptophyta; Magnoliopsida; Malpighiales; Salicaceae
Description: long non-coding RNA (PTRI_LNC001819)
Source: RNAcentral